Molecule: long non-coding RNA, 971 nt
Filed under: Medicago truncatula (barrel medic)
Lineage: Eukaryota; Viridiplantae; Streptophyta; Magnoliopsida; Fabales; Fabaceae
Description: long non-coding RNA (MTRU_LNC003788)
Source: RNAcentral
CCUUUCUUCAUUCAUUAUCUCAAGCUUCCCACUAACUUUUGAAGUCUUGGUUAUUAGCUUUGGUUUCCCAUGUCACUUAAUCUUUGUUUUUAAUUAUAAUUAAAUAAUACGAAAUAAUCUUUGUACUAAAUAAUCAUUUUCCCGAUUCUUUCUAUACCAAUAACAAUCCACACAAUACAAGAUUUUUUUUUUUUUUUUUGAGGAACACAAUACAAGAAUCUUAUGAGCAAAUAAUCCAAACAACAUUCAACCCCUUUAUAUUUCAAGUAGCUUCCUGAUCCUUUCUAUACCAAUAACCUAAUUCAAAUGAAUAAAUUUUACCUUGAGAAAGUGAAGUAGCAGAGGUGAAGUGCGAACCACGGCGAAACGCAAUGACCAAAAUAAAUUGCCCAAAACUGAAAAAGAAAUUACACAGAUUCAAUUAACAAAAUGAUGGUUAAUAUAAAGAAAUAAAAAUUAGAACUUUGAAGAUUCACAACUCAGAUUCAACACAAUACAGAAAUUCAAUGUAUAACACAAGAAUGAAUAAGAAAAAAGGACAACAGAAUCACACGAGCUUGAAGAAGAAUUGAGAAGACUCUAAGGAACCACAUGCAGAAGCAGGUUGGGUCGUUUCUUCCAAAAACACCCUCACGAAGUAAUGGCGUUGUGGCUGACAAAGAAGAAAGUUUCGUGAGAGUAGAACAAACCAAAGUUGUCUCAGAUUAACCAAACAGAGUCGAAGAACGAAGCAAGCUGUCUUAGGUUCAUGUUGAGGGUGACAUUGAAAUUGGGGAUUUUAGGGUGAGAUUCAUGUUGACGGUUGAAAUUGAGGGUGAGAUUGAAAUUGGGGGUGAGAUUGGGAGGGUUAGGUUUCAGAUAGAGAGUGAGAUUGAAAUGGAGGUUUUAGGGUUUUGAAAAGUGGGAACCGUGGGAAUGAAAUUGAGAAAGCGGGAGAGAUGAAAAUAUUUUGGGUGAAAAGCGCAAUUGAC